GUCCCAUCCCGAACCCGGUAGCUAAGACCCACAGCGCUGAUGGUACUGCACUCGGUAGGGUGUGGGAGAGUAAGUCACCGCCGGAA
RNAcentral lists this ribosomal RNA (86 nucleotides) under Kocuria rhizophila. RNAcentral also lists the same sequence under 2 other names. The record is from RNAcentral. Lineage: Bacteria; Bacillati; Actinomycetota; Actinomycetes; Micrococcales; Micrococcaceae.